AUACUCUUGUUUCUCUUCAGAGCGUAUAAAUCUUUCGCCUUUUACUAAAGAUUUCCGUGGAGAGGAACACUUUGAGUUCAAUCUAAUUUUUUGAUGCCCUACCUCGUGCGGGGCU
This 115-nucleotide small nuclear RNA is filed under the name Cottoperca gobio. Its description in RNAcentral is "U5 spliceosomal RNA (ENSCGOG00000005857.1)". It matches the Rfam family "U5 spliceosomal RNA". From Rfam's summary of the family: U5 RNA is a component of both types of known spliceosome. The precise function of this molecule is unknown, though it is known that the 5' loop is required for splice site selection and p220 binding, and that both the 3' stem-loop and the Sm site are important for Sm protein binding and cap methylation. Lineage: Eukaryota; Metazoa; Chordata; Actinopteri; Perciformes; Bovichtidae. The record is from Rfam by way of RNAcentral.